CCCCAUACCUAUCUUUUGCUCGUCCUCGAGUAAAAAUCAAAAGAAAAGAAAAUAAACUAAGAAAACUAGAUGCGAUUCCUAGGCUCCUUUUCGUAGGCGUGACGGGUGAUUUUAGGUUCACCAACCCGUUAAACUCGUAGACGAUCUCUACAAGAGGAGUUUUGUCUCCUAAGGGUUUACAGAAGAUAUACCCAUAAAAUCUUCGAGACAUUCUAGCAAGUGUCUACUCGACUCUACUCUAAUUUCGUUGGUGUUAACAAAAAGCGUUUUUAAGGAAAAUACGACUUAAAGACUCAUUUACUAAUAAUCAAGAUACAGUUCUCUCUAAUCUACUUGCAUCGACACAAAGAUUUACUAGAAAUCCAAGGAGUGUAAAUAAUUUAAGGCCUUUGAUGGAUCCUAAUUGUCUAAGAACAUUUUCUCUUUUUCAACCAAUUUUGAACUGACCCAAUCUCUAUCGAAACAAAUAUCUAGCCAAACUUCACAAACUCUUAUUCUUCUCUCUCUCUUUCCAAAUAUCUAGCCAAACUUCACAAACUUCUUAUUUCUUUUCCUUUCUUUCUUUUUUUCCUUUUUUCGCUUUUUUUUUUGCAUUGACUUUAUUUUGUCCGUUUUCUUAGGCAAACAAUGUUACCCAUGUAGCGAGCUUUAGGUCAGUGACUCCCAAACCAAACGG
Molecule: long non-coding RNA, 676 nt
Filed under: Daucus carota (carrot)
Lineage: Eukaryota; Viridiplantae; Streptophyta; Magnoliopsida; Apiales; Apiaceae
Description: long non-coding RNA (DCAR_LNC006806)
Source: RNAcentral